CCCUUAAUAGCUCAGUGGUAGAGGAAAGGACUGUAAAGGUUAAUGGCAAUCUUGAUGGUGCUGGUUUGAAUCUAGCUUGAUGGU
Molecule: transfer RNA, 84 nt
Filed under: Xenopus tropicalis (tropical clawed frog)
Lineage: Eukaryota; Metazoa; Chordata; Amphibia; Anura; Pipidae
Description: Xenopus (Silurana) tropicalis (western clawed frog) tRNA
Rfam family: tRNA
About the family: Transfer RNA (tRNA) molecules are approximately 80 nucleotides in length. Their secondary structure includes four short double-helical elements and three loops (D, anti-codon, and T loops).
Source: Rfam by way of RNAcentral